GAUGAACGCUGGCGGCGUGCCUAAUACAUGCAAGUCGAGCGAACAGACGAGGAGCUUGCUCCUCUGACGUUAGCGGCGGACGGGUGAGUAACACGUGGAUAACCUACCUAUAAGACUGGGAUAACUUCGGGAAACCGGAGCUAAUACCGGAUAACAUGUUGAACCGCAUGGUUCAACAGUGAAAGACGGUCUUGCUGUCACUUAUAGAUGGAUCCGCGCCGCAUUAGCUAGUUGGUAAGGUAACGGCUUUCCAAGGCAACGAUGCGUAGACGACCUGCGAGGGUGAUCGGCCACACUGGAACUGAGACACGGUCCAGACUCCUACGGGAGGCAGCAGUAGGGAAUCUUCCGCAAUGGGCGAAAGCCUGACGGAGCAACGCCGCGUGAGUGAAGAAGGUCUUCGGAUCGUAAAACUCUGUUAUUAGGGAAGAACAAAUGUGUAAGUAACUAUGCACGUCUUGACGGUACCUAAUCAGAAAGCCACGGCUAACUACGUG
This 497-nucleotide ribosomal RNA is filed under the name uncultured bacterium. RNAcentral describes it as "partial 16S ribosomal RNA". It matches the Rfam family "Bacterial small subunit ribosomal RNA", at positions 28 to 507 of the family's 1533-position model. The record is from RNAcentral.